Long non-coding RNA from Gallus gallus (chicken), 1538 nucleotides. The record is from Ensembl. NCBI's taxonomy places the organism in Eukaryota, Metazoa, Chordata, Aves, Galliformes, Phasianidae.
AGUUUUAAUGAGAGUUUGUCUUCUUCAAAAGUACAGGAUGAAGCCAGCAAGUGGGUAAAUGAAAUGUGUGAGCAUAAGGAGCACCUACCCUUUAAAAACAUCAACAAAUGGUGACCUCUGGAUGCUACUCACAGUGUAGUCACUAAGACAAGAUUGUGAGAAUAACUGACAUUCUUGUUAUCUUGAUAACACUUUGUUAUCGUUCAAGAAAUCAUCUUGGAUUGAUUGGAAAUGGAAGUGAGAUGCCUUCUGCCUUCUUCCCACUCAUGUGGCUGCAGGCCCUCUGGAACAGAGCUCCAGACCAGAUGCAGCCUAUGGGCCACAGAUUCCCACCCUGACCAAAAAGGGAAGCUUUCUCCUGGAAGGAUGAUGGCAGAGGAGAAAAUGCAGCAGCCCUGGGCAACGAGCAAGGUCUGCAGUCUGGCAGUGCAGCUCAGCAGAUCUCUGAGAUGUGAAGUCAUCUAAGUGGAGCCACCCUACGCGUGUCAAACGAACUGACAGAUUGCAAGUGUGCUUCCUCACAUUUUGGUUUCACUGAGUCAGCAAGCCUUGCAUGGGGUGGUUCCUCUGUUCACUGAGAUUUUACCAGUCUUCCAAUUAAAUUCCCUUUCCACCAAUAUGAACUUGACAUUCUUUGGAAGAGGUCACAUGCCGGUUCGCACACCUGCAGGGAUUACAGUAGAGCUGCUCAUUAUUCCAGCCCUCUUGUCUGGGUAGACAUACUUACACCAAGGAUGUACCUCCUGUGGUUAUUUUCUCUCUGAGGUGAGGGAGGUAAAAUUGUUUGCCUAGUAUAUACCAAUCAUUUCCCUCAUGGUAAUGGGCAAAUACCUGCUUGCUGCUGGCUUUCCUUCAUGGAACUUGCAAUGCUGCUCAAUUUUUCCAUUUAUUUACUCAGCCUGUAGGGCACUGUAUUCCGGUUUCAUUCUUUAGGUUUCUUUGAAGCCAAUGAAGCAGGACUGGCUCUUGAAAGUGCAGAAGUUGGGAUUCAAUCCAUAUUUAUAUGCCAUUGCUGUAAAUGUGGAGACUGUAUUAAAGGGCUGAUCAGGCACGAAAAAAGACUUUAACUAAUUUAAGUCAGCAGGAAACCUUUUGUUUUUUACUUUAUAGAUUUUUCUGCAGUUGCUCAUCCUGAAAAUUUGGCAAUAGGUUUCUGAUAAUUCAAAGUCAAAUCUUGUACCAUAGUCAUGAGUAGAAGGAAAUAAAUGAUUUGAAUAUUAUCAGUUAUGCUUGAAAAAUGAGUGGUUCUUCCACUACUUCCAAACCAAAAGAAUACUUCCCAUUAAUCAAGUUGGAAGACUGUGUCUCAUGCUUCAUUCUAGUUUAUGUAUUCGGUCCUCUUUUCCUUGAUCCUACCUGUAGAGCCAUGUGUUUUCUAUAUUUCCUCUGUUCCAUUUACACUGCAAAUGAUUAUAAUUUCUGUUACACAAAAAAACCUGAGCUGCCACAACCACUACCUAGGUUACCAGAGCUCUUUCUGUCAUUUUCUCAACAAAUGCUUUGUUUGUGUCAUCAAUAAAAUGAUCAGAUACACCCUU